AUGAACGCUAGCGACAGGCCUAACACAUGCAAGUCGAGGGGCAGCACAAGGAUAGCAAUAUUCUGGUGGCGACCGGCGCACGGGUGAGUAACACGUAUGCAACCUACCUGUAAGGGGGGGAAUAACCCGGAGAAAUUCGGACUAAUACCGCAUAAUACCGCUGAACUGCAUGGUUUAGUGGUUAAACAUUUAUGGCUUACAGAUGGGCAUGCGUAUGAUUAGCUAGUUGGUGAGGUAACGGCUCACCAAGGCAACGAUCAUUAGGGGUUCUGAGAGGAAGGUCCCCCACACUGGUACUGAGACACGGACCAGACUCCUACGGGAGGCAGCAGUGAGGAAUAUUGGUCAAUGGGCGAGAGCCUGAACCAGCCAAGUCGCGUGAAGGAAGAAGGUUCUAUGGAUUGUAAACUUCUUUUAUAAGGGAAUAAAAAAGAGUACGUGUACUCUAUUGUAUGUACUUUAUGAAUAAGGAUCGGCUAACUCCGUGCCAGCAGCCGCGGUAAUACGGAGGAUCCAAGCGUUAUCCGGAUUUAUUGGGUUUAAAGGGUGCGUAGGCGGACCUUUAAGUCAGUGGUGAAAGUUUGCGGCUCAACCGUAAAAUUGCCAUUGAAACUGAAGGUCUUGAGUGUAAAUGAGGUAGGCGGAAUGUGUUGUGUAGCGGUGAAAUGCUUAGAUAUAACACAGAACACCAAUUGCGAAGGCAGCUUACUAGGAUACAACUGACGCUGAGGCACGAAAGCGUGGGGAUCAAACAGGAUUAGAUACCCUGGUAGUCCACGCAGUAAACGAUGAAUACUAACUGUAUGCGAUAUAC
Molecule: ribosomal RNA, 814 nt
Filed under: uncultured bacterium
Lineage: Bacteria
Description: bacterial SSU rRNA
Rfam family: Bacterial small subunit ribosomal RNA
Source: RNAcentral